RNAcentral lists this long non-coding RNA (1509 nucleotides) under Homo sapiens (human). RNAcentral's name for it is "HSALNT0205181". The record is from RNAcentral. Lineage: Eukaryota; Metazoa; Chordata; Mammalia; Primates; Hominidae.
AAAAGACUGGACACCCCUAGACCUUCCUUAUAUCUCAGCAGAGGCCAUUUACCCUAUUCUACAUAAGAAGACAAUGGAACUACCACAGAAGAGCUCCAAAUUAUCUUUUGAAAACUGAGACAUGAAAGGAAAUAAUGGACUUAACAAUAUCUACAAAGAGAACCAAGGAAAAUUCCAGGUUUUAGUCUGACACUUAAGGAGCUUAGAAGUUGCCACUUCAUCCUAACAGCAAGUAAAACCUAAACGAACUGAAAAAUCAACAACUUUUCUUAGACCAAAGAAGUAAAGUUACAGUGUAAACUACUAUCCUGAAUAUUGAAAAGACAGGUGGAUACAGAGAAUCACAACUUACUGAAACAGUAACCUACAAGCAUAAACCUCCAUGGGACCCAGUGCUAGGGUAGAAAAAAACCUAAAUUUUAAUUGAUGAAUUGCUGGAGGCUCAGUGUGGGCAAGUCUGAAAGUUAAAACUCCAGAGGACCCAGUCAUAGAGAUGAUGCCCUUAUAUUUUGUGAGAAUUACCUCCAAGAGCUGUACCAGGGACUCACAGAGAAUACAGGAGAAAAAUCUUCUACUUCCAGCAGGGGGAGGGGAUAAUUACCAAUUGCAAACACCCUAGAGCAUUCUGUUUUUAACAAGGUCUGACCUCAGGUGAAACUAUUUACUAAAGCUUAAUCAUCUGAGGUCUUAUUAGAGCCCAAUCUACCUGGGGAAAUAAAAAUAUCCAACUCCGGUCCCCUCUAGACAUUCUGUCUUACUAAGGGGAGAAAAACUGAGGAGCACUGGUGAAGUUCACAGUCCAGUAGCAAAGGUUUGUGAACUACUGACAACCAUAGACCCAUAGAAUGCUUCCCUUCCCCCACAACUUCACACCACACCACUAAAGACCUAUUAAGUUUCUUUUACUUAAUACAUCAUGUCAGGAUUUCAAAGAAAAAAAAAUUAAAAACUACAUACAUACAUGUAUACAAAUGAGGCAAAAAAAAAAAAAAAGAAAAACCAAAAAACGCCAUUUGAAGAUACUGAACAAGCAUCAGAACCAGAGUCAGAUAUUUUAGGAAUAUUGGAAUUAUCAGACCAGCAAUUUAAAACAACUAUAAUUAGCAUGCUAAGAGCUCUAAUGGAAAAAGCAGACAGCAUGCAAUGGAUAAUGUAAGCAGAAAGAUGAAAACUCCAAGAAACAAUAAAAAAAUGCUAGAGAUCAAAAAUACUAUAAGAAACGAAGAAUGUCUUUGAUAAGCUAACUAGUAGACUGCAAACUGCUGAGGAAAGAAUCUCUAAACGUGAAGAUAUGACAGUGGAAACAAAUAAAAAAGAAUUUGGGCCAGGUGCAGUGGCUCACGCCUAAAAUCCCAGCACUUUGGGAGGCCAAGGCAGGCAAAUCAGGAUGUCAAGAGAUCGAGACCAUCCUGACCAACAUGGUAAAAUCCCAUCUCUACUAAAAAUACAGAAUUAGCUGGGCAUGGUGGCACACGCCUGUAGUCCCAGCUACUCAGGAGGCUGAGGCAG